RNAcentral lists this ribosomal RNA (253 nucleotides) under uncultured bacterium. RNAcentral describes it as "partial 16S ribosomal RNA". It matches the Rfam family "Bacterial small subunit ribosomal RNA", at positions 524 to 776 of the family's 1533-position model. The record is from RNAcentral.
UACGUAGGGUGCGAGCGUUGUCCGGAAUUACUGGGCGUAAAGCGCGCGCAGGCGGUCCUUUAAGUCUGAUGUGAAAGCCCACGGCUCAACCGUGGAGGGUCAUUGGAAACUGGGGGACUUGAGUGCAGAAGAGGAAAGCGGAAUUCCACGUGUAGCGGUGAAAUGCGUAGAGAUGUGGAGGAACACCAGUGGCGAAGGCGGCUUUCUGGUCUGUAACUGACGCUGAGGCGCGAAAGCGUGGGGAGCAAACAGG